UACAGAGGGUGCAAACGUUGCUCGGAAUCAUUGGGCGUAAAGAGCGUGUAGGCGGUCCGGUAAGUCCGCUGUGAAAGUCGGGGGCUCAACCCUCGAAUGCCGGUGGAUACUGUCGGGCUAGAGUGCGGAAGAGGCGAGUGGAAUUCCUGGUGUAGCGGUGAAAUGCGCAGAUAUCAGGAGGAACACCUAUUGCGAAGGCAGCUCGCUGGGACGUAACUGACGCUGAGACGCGAAAGCGUGGGGAGCAAACAGG
This 253-nucleotide ribosomal RNA is filed under the name uncultured bacterium. Its description in RNAcentral is "partial 16S ribosomal RNA". It matches the Rfam family "Bacterial small subunit ribosomal RNA", at positions 524 to 776 of the family's 1533-position model. The record is from RNAcentral.